GCCAGGAGGGGAAAGCCUCUGCUGCCACAUUCAUAUCCGCAGUGUCCCUUUACAGCCACACGACGUCUCCCAGACCAACGCUACGUAAAUGAGGGCAAAGUCCUGUGUCAGCUGAAGGGAUGAUUCACUGUCCAACAAUACAAACAAACAGCAGUUGGUAUUGAGGAAAUGUCACAGGGAGGUAAAACAAAUGGGAGCACGCAAGGGACUCGUGAGCAGGAAGAGCCGCACGCUAUUUGUUGUAGGCAACAACCCGCGCAGUCAAUGAGCCGUUCUUCUCCAGCAAAGAGUUUGCAAACUUCCUGGAGGCUUUAAAACAGCAGCAAAUAAAGCUGUACGUGUGGUUCAGAUAUGGAUUUGAAGGGCUUCCUGCCCUGCUCUGUCCCAUCCCAGAGUGCACAGAAGGGCCAGGCAAAUCCUAUGCCUCAUGGUACUGUGCAGGGCUCUGUCAGUGGGAGCAGCGAAUAGUUGGAAUACACUUUUUAAUGGGGUGACAGUGGAGAACCCACCUGACUGACGUUUUUUUCUGUUUCAGCAGAAGAAAGCAAGCUCUGGGUGCCGCUAGAUGGCAAUGGAGACAGCAGCACUGUGCAGUUGGCUUCAGCGUCGCCGGUGCUGCCCGCAUCCCUGUGCUGUAACAGCAAACACUGGCUGCUCCAGGGAACAGAUCAGUGCACUGGAUUCCAGAUGUGAUCAUUAUCGGUGCGAGCCUUUCAGCUCACUUUACGAUGAAGACAGGCAGAAAUUGCCUGUAAAAAUCCU
Molecule: long non-coding RNA, 762 nt
Filed under: Gallus gallus (chicken)
Lineage: Eukaryota; Metazoa; Chordata; Aves; Galliformes; Phasianidae
Description: long non-coding RNA NONGGAT004747
Source: RNAcentral